UACGUAGGGGGCGAGCGUUGUCCGGAUUUAUUGGGCGUAAAGAGCGCGUAGGUGGUUUGUAAAGUCGGAUGUGAAAGUCCAGGGCUUAACCCUGGGAUGCCAUUCGAUACUUGCAAACUAGAGCAUGGUAGGGGGAUCUGGAAUUCCUGGUGUAGCGGUGAAAUGCGCAGAUAUCAGGAGGAACACCGGUGGCGAAGGCGGGAUCCUGGGCCAUUGCUGACACUGAGGCGCGAAAGCUGGGGGAGCAAACAGGAUUAGAAACCCCCGUAGUCC
This 273-nucleotide ribosomal RNA is filed under the name uncultured bacterium. RNAcentral's name for it is "partial 16S ribosomal RNA". It matches the Rfam family "Bacterial small subunit ribosomal RNA", at positions 524 to 796 of the family's 1533-position model. The record is from RNAcentral.